GGAUUAAUACCCGUAGUACCUAUUAGAGGCAUUUUUAAUAGGUUAUAGUUUUCGAACGGUAUAGGAUGGCUAUGCGUCUUAUUAGCUAGUAGGUAAGGUAACGGCUUACCUAGGCAACGAUAAGUAGGGGCCCUGAGAGGGGGAUCCCCCACACUGGUACUGAGMCACGGACCAGACUCUACGGGAGGCAGCAGUGAGGAAUAUUGGACAAUGGGCGGAAGCCUGAUCCAGCCAUGCCGCGUGCAGGAAGACGGCCCUAUGGGUUGUAAACUGCUUUUAUACGGGAAGAAUAAGGGAUACGUGUAUCCUGGUGACGGUACCGUAAGAAUAAGGACCGGCUAACUCCGUGCCAGCAGCCGCGGUAAUACGGAGGGUCCGAGCGUUAUCCGGAAUUAUUGGGUUUAAAGGGUCCGCAGGCGGGCAAUUAAGUCAGAGGUGAAAUGGUGCGGCUCAACCGUAGCACUGCCUUUGAUACUGGUUGUCUUGAGUCAUGGUGGAGUGGCCGGAAUAUGUAGUGUAGCGGUGAAAUGCAUAGAUAUUACAUAGAACACCGAUCGCGAAGGCAGGUCACUAACCAUGAACUGACGCUGAUGGACGAAAGCGUGGGGAGCGAACGGGAUUAGAUACCCCGGUAGUCCACGCCGUAAACGAUGGAUACUAGCUGUCCGCUACCUUGAGUAGUGGGCGGCCAAGCGAAAGUGAUAAGUAUCCCACCUG
RNAcentral lists this ribosomal RNA (717 nucleotides) under Flavobacteriaceae bacterium TN. RNAcentral describes it as "bacterial SSU rRNA". It matches the Rfam family "Bacterial small subunit ribosomal RNA", at positions 160 to 875 of the family's 1533-position model. The record is from RNAcentral. Lineage: Bacteria; Pseudomonadati; Bacteroidota; Flavobacteriia; Flavobacteriales; Flavobacteriaceae.